Non-coding RNA from Picea glauca (white spruce), 122 nucleotides. The record is from Rfam. Lineage: Eukaryota; Viridiplantae; Streptophyta; Pinopsida; Pinales; Pinaceae.
ACAUGCUUACAACAUAGCGUUAAUGCACUGGAUCCCAUUAGAACUUCGCAGUUAAGUGCACUUGGGAUAGAGUAGUACUAGGAUGGGUGACCCACCUGGGAAGUCCUAGUGUUUUACAUGCC